UGAGGAAUUUUGCGCAAUGGGGGAAACCCUGACGCAGCAACGCCGCGUGAGUGAUGAAGGCCCUCGGGUCGUAAAGCUCUGUUGGGUGGGAAGAACCCGAUUUGUGAACAAUACCACAGAUCGCUGACGGUACCACCUGAGGAAGCACCGGCUAACUCCGUGCCAGCAGCCGCGGUAAUACGGAGGGUGCAAGCGUUAUUCGGAAUUAUUGGGCGUAAAGCGCGCGUAGGCGGUUCGGUAAGUCGGCUGUGAAAGCCCAUGGCUCAACCAUGGAAGUGCAGUUGAUACUAUCGAACUUGAGUAUGGGAGAGGGAAGCGGAAUUCCUGGUGUAGCGGUGAAAUGCGUAGAUAUCAGGAGGAACACCGGUGGCGAAGGCGGCUUCCUGGACCAAUACUGACGCUCAGGCGCGAAGGCGUGGGGAGCAAACA
This 429-nucleotide ribosomal RNA is filed under the name uncultured bacterium. RNAcentral describes it as "bacterial SSU rRNA". It matches the Rfam family "Bacterial small subunit ribosomal RNA", at positions 355 to 774 of the family's 1533-position model. The record is from RNAcentral.